CGGAAUAGCAUUGGCAAUAGGAGGCAUCGUGUUUGUCUGGAUAACUACUGUGUGGAAAACAGAGAUACCGUUUGCCAUGAUGAUUUGGAUUGGAAUCACGAUUUUGACAGUUGGAGCUUUAUUUAUUGAAAACUCUAACUGGCAGAGGGACAUCGACAUGGCUAAGAAACUGAACAUUGUGUAUGAACAAAAGAAAAAGGAGGAAAAUGCAAAGGAACCAAAGGUCUUCUUCGGAGCAGCUUUCAACGACAUCGACAUUACGGAC
Long non-coding RNA from Branchiostoma belcheri (Belcher's lancelet), 265 nucleotides. RefSeq lists it as uncharacterized. The record is from RefSeq and is a predicted model, not a curated record. The transcript has 3 exons. NCBI's taxonomy places the organism in Eukaryota, Metazoa, Chordata, Leptocardii, Amphioxiformes, Branchiostomatidae.